UCGAUUUGAAGGUCGUGGUCUUUGGACUGUGGCUUUCGUAGCUAACGCGUUAAAUUGACCGCCUGGGGAGUACGGCCGCAAGGUUAAAACUCAAAUGAAUUGACGGGGGCCCGCACAAGCGGUGGAGCAUGUGGUUUAAUUCGAUGCAACGCGAAGAACCUUACCUACUCUUGACAUCCAGAGAACUAUGUAGAGAUAUGUGGGUGCCUUCGGGAGCUCUGAGACAGGUGCUGCAUGGCUGUCGUCAGCUCGUGUUGUGAAAUGUUGGGUUAAGUCCCGCAACGAGCGCAACCCUUAUCCUUUGUUGCCAGCGAAUUAGGUCGGGAACUCAAAGGAGACUGCCGAUGAUAAAUCGGAGGAAGGUGAGGAUGACGUCAAGUCAUCAUGGCCCUUACGAGUAGGGCUACAAACGUGCUACAAUGGCAUAUACAAAGAGAAGCAAUCUUGUAAAAGUUAGCAAAUCUCAUAAAGUAUGUCUAAGUCCGGAUUGGAGUCUGCAACUCGACUCUAUGAAGUCCGAAUCGCUAGUAAUCGUGUAUCAGAAUGUCACGGUGAAUACGUUCCCGGGCC
RNAcentral lists this ribosomal RNA (570 nucleotides) under endosymbiont of Colobopsis nipponicus. RNAcentral's name for it is "bacterial SSU rRNA". It matches the Rfam family "Bacterial small subunit ribosomal RNA", at positions 812 to 1380 of the family's 1533-position model. The record is from RNAcentral. Lineage: Bacteria; Pseudomonadati; Pseudomonadota; Gammaproteobacteria; Enterobacterales; Enterobacteriaceae.